Molecule: small RNA, 482 nt
Filed under: Vigna angularis var. angularis
Lineage: Eukaryota; Viridiplantae; Streptophyta; Magnoliopsida; Fabales; Fabaceae
Description: Non-protein coding transcript
Source: RNAcentral
CUAAAGGAUGUCUUAACUGAAAAGCUUAAAGACAGGAGCAAUACCCCCAAAUGGAAUGACCGAGAUUUUGACGUAGAAGAAUGGUUGAUGAAAGACUAGAAAUUUAAAAGGUAUAGAAGAAAGGACUGAAGGAAAUGUUAUAUAUAUUGAAAUGUGAUGUUACAUUGCUUUUCCUUUUCCUAAUUUAUCUUUAUCUUUUCAUAACAGGACUUGACAACUCACCUAUAUGUUUGAGUACAUGUUAAGAAUUGUGAACGCCUUACAAGUGUGUCCCCACCAACACCGAAAGAUCUUGUGGAACUUGAAGAUCCAGUAAUGGAAGAUGUUCUGCUACGAUUGCUUCCUUUCUUAACUAAUUUAGUAACGUUGGAAGUUGAAAACUGAGAUUCCGUCAAAGCCAUUUUUGAUGUCAAAUGUACAACAGAAAGCAAAGAUGUGAUAUCUAGAGGAUCAACCCUUUUUCCUUUGAAGAAUUUGACUUU